UGGCUUGGCUGUGGGGAUUUGGAAAGAGGAGGAGAUAUUUGCUUCUAGAGAAAAGGUUAAGACGGAUGCCAUUUUCCGCCCCUUAAUAGAUGAAGAGCUAAGGAAGAAGAGGACGGAUUCUUGGUUCAAAGCCGUGGAAAGGACUUUUAGCUUGGCUGAUCUUUCAAUAUGAAAAACUUCAUGGUGGUGCUGCUGUAUGCCCCUUUUCUUUCCCCUUGACUUUCCAUUUAAAUGACUAAGAUAAAUCCUUAAUAGGUAAAUUGUUAAUUCUUAUGUUAAUAUUGACGUGGAUUCUGAAAUAAUAAAUUUGAUUAGCCAGUUGUUUUACCUGCUGAUAUUCUGCACAUCUUCAAUCUUAUGCAUUAUUUACUAAAUUAGAAAUCACAUGUUAAUGUGUUGUCCCUCUUGGUAAAUUUAAUGUAUUGAAACUUUCUGUUUUGUUAAUGCUUGGCCACCAAAGAUUUUUUCCGCCAGCUCUCUGCCUCUUGGCUUAUGAUCACGGGAGAUUUUCGGUUCUGAAUCCUUGAUUGUCGCUGAUUCAGAAGGUGAACAAAG
Molecule: long non-coding RNA, 555 nt
Filed under: Manihot esculenta (cassava)
Lineage: Eukaryota; Viridiplantae; Streptophyta; Magnoliopsida; Malpighiales; Euphorbiaceae
Description: long non-coding RNA (MESC_LNC001299)
Source: RNAcentral